GUCAUAGUCGCCUAAUGGAUUGGCAUCAGCCUUCUAAGCUGUUUUAUAUAGGUUCGAAUCCUUUCUAUGACA
RNAcentral lists this transfer RNA (72 nucleotides) under Euglena longa. Its description in RNAcentral is "transfer RNA-Arg (UCU)". It matches the Rfam family "tRNA". From Rfam's summary of the family: Transfer RNA (tRNA) molecules are approximately 80 nucleotides in length. Lineage: Eukaryota; Euglenozoa; Euglenophyceae; Euglenales; Euglenaceae. The record is from RNAcentral.